RNAcentral lists this ribosomal RNA (230 nucleotides) under uncultured bacterium. Its description in RNAcentral is "partial 16S ribosomal RNA". It matches the Rfam family "Bacterial small subunit ribosomal RNA", at positions 563 to 791 of the family's 1533-position model. The record is from RNAcentral.
AAGCGUGCGCAGGCGGUUAUAGUAAGACAGAUGUGAAAUCCCCGGGCUCAACCUGGGAACUGCAUUAGUGACUGCAUAGCUGGAGUACGGCAGAGGGGGAUGGAAUUCCGCGUGUAGCAGUGAAAUGCGUAGAUAUGCGGAGGAACACCGAUGGCGAAGGCAAUCCCCUGGGCCUGUACUGACGCUCAUGCACGAAAGCGUGGGGAGCAAACAGGAUUAGAUACCCUUGU